Molecule: ribosomal RNA, 386 nt
Filed under: Phycodrys radicosa
Lineage: Eukaryota; Rhodophyta; Florideophyceae; Ceramiales; Delesseriaceae
Description: bacterial LSU rRNA
Rfam family: Bacterial large subunit ribosomal RNA
Source: RNAcentral
CCCUAUGAAGCUUUACUGUAGCUUGGAAUUGAAUUUGGGUUUAUUUUGCGCAGUAUAGGUGGGAGGCUAAGAUAUUAUAUUUGCGGAUAUAAAGUAGCCAACAGUGAGAUACCACUCUAAUUAAACUAGAAUUCUAAUCUUGAUGCCGUUAUCCGGCCAAGAAACAGUUUCAGGUGGGCAGUUUGACUGGGGCGGUCGCCUCCUAAAAGGUAACGGAGGCGUGCAAAGGUUCCUUCAGACUGGUCGGAAAUCAGUCGUAGAGUAUAAAGGCAUAAGGGAGCUUGACUGCGAGACUUACAAGUCGAGCAGAGACGAAAGUCGGCCUUAGUGAUCCGACAGUACUGAGUGGAAAGGCUGUCGCUCAACGGAUAAAAGUUACUCUAGGG